AAACUAUUGCGAGGACACUCUCUUAAUAAACCUUUAAAUCUAUCUCAUGCUUCAAAUAGUGUUUCUCCAUCUGUCUAAGAAAAAUUUGUAAUGCAAUUCCUCAUGUAC
Molecule: small nucleolar RNA, 108 nt
Organism: Zingiber officinale
Lineage: Eukaryota; Viridiplantae; Streptophyta; Magnoliopsida; Zingiberales; Zingiberaceae
Source: RefSeq, a predicted model, not a curated record